This 442-nucleotide ribosomal RNA is filed under the name uncultured bacterium. RNAcentral describes it as "partial 16S ribosomal RNA". It matches the Rfam family "Bacterial small subunit ribosomal RNA", at positions 339 to 795 of the family's 1533-position model. The record is from RNAcentral.
CUACGGGUCGCAGCAGUGGGGAAUAUUGGGCAAUGGGCGCAAGCCUGACCCAGCAACGCCGCGUGAGGGAAGAAUGUCUUCGGAUUGUAAACCUCUGUCCUUGGGGACGAAAAAAAUGACGGUACCCAAGGAGGAAGCUCCGGCUAACUACGUGCCAGCAGCCGCGGUAAUACGUAGGGAGCAAGCGUUGUCCGGAAUUAUUGGGCGUAAAGGGUGCGUAGGCGGCGCUGUAAGUCAGAUGUGAAAUCCCCGGGCUUAACUCGGGAGUUGCAUUUGAAACUACAGUGCUUGAGUAAAGAAGGGGUAAGUGGAAUUCCUAGUGUAGCGGUGGAAUGCGUAGAUAUUAGGAGGAACACCAGUGGCGAAGGCGACUUACUGAUCUUUUACUGACGCUGAGGCACGAAAGCGUGGGGAGCAAACAGGAUUAGAUACCCGCGUAGUC